GCCAGUGUGGUGCAGUGAUUUGAAUGUUGGAUUCGGGCUCUGGGAAACAGGGUUCAAAUCCCUGCUCAGUCA
This is a non-coding RNA of Phrynosoma platyrhinos (Desert horned lizard), 72 nucleotides long. Lineage: Eukaryota; Metazoa; Chordata; Lepidosauria; Squamata; Phrynosomatidae. The record is from the annotation of a GenBank genome assembly.